UAAACUAACGAACUAUAUU
This 19-nucleotide microRNA is filed under the name Ananas comosus (pineapple). Its description in RNAcentral is "microRNA s0449_c58a". The record is from RNAcentral. Lineage: Eukaryota; Viridiplantae; Streptophyta; Magnoliopsida; Poales; Bromeliaceae.